GUUAGGAAUCUUCCACAAUGGGGGCAACCCUGAUGGAGCAACACCGCGUGCUGGAUGAAGGCCUUCGGGUCGUAAACAGCUUUUGUAUACGAAGAAUAUGACGGUAAUAUACGAAUAAGGGUCGGCUAACUACGUGCCAGCAGCCGCGGUCAUACGUAGGACCCAAGCGUUAUCCGGAGUGACUGGGCGUAAAGAGUUGCGUAGGCGGCUUAUUAAGCGAGUAGUGAAAUCUGGUGGCUCAACCAUUAACACAUUGCUCGAACUGAUAGGCUUGAGAAUGGUAGAGGUAGUUGGAAUUUCUUGUGUAGGAGUGAAAUCCGUAGAUAUAAGAAGGAACACCAAUGGCGUAGGCAGACUACUGGACCAUUUCUGACGCUGAGGCACGAAAGCGUGGGGAGCGAACCGGAUUAGAAACCCUAGUAGUCC
RNAcentral lists this ribosomal RNA (426 nucleotides) under uncultured bacterium. RNAcentral describes it as "partial 16S ribosomal RNA". It matches the Rfam family "Bacterial small subunit ribosomal RNA", at positions 354 to 796 of the family's 1533-position model. The record is from RNAcentral.